This 231-nucleotide unclassified non-coding RNA is filed under the name Humaria sp. RNAcentral describes it as "partial contains 5.8S ribosomal RNA, internal transcribed spacer 2, and large subunit ribosomal RNA". The record is from RNAcentral. Lineage: Eukaryota; Fungi; Ascomycota; Pezizomycetes; Pezizales; Pyronemataceae.
AACGCACAUUGCGCCCCAUGGUAUUCCGUAGGGCACGUCUGUCUGAACGUCAUUUUAAACUCAGGCUUUGCCUGGUGAUGGAGGCGGCGCACGCCGUCUUCCGCAAUCCGUCGGCGGAGGCCGCCGCGAGCCGAUACGAUGAACAUCUUUGUCGAGCUCUGUGGUGGGCAGCCUGCCAAAUAAACUCUGUAGCUUGACUUCAGGUCAGACGAGGUUACCCGCUGAACUUAA